GGUGCGGUACCCAAGCGGCAAGGGAGCAGUCUGCAAAACUGUUAUUCGCCGGUUCGAUUCCGGCCCGCACCU
This 72-nucleotide transfer RNA is filed under the name Endomicrobium sp. RNAcentral's name for it is "tRNA-Cys". It matches the Rfam family "tRNA". Rfam says of the family: Transfer RNA (tRNA) molecules are approximately 80 nucleotides in length. Their secondary structure includes four short double-helical elements and three loops (D, anti-codon, and T loops). The record is from RNAcentral. Lineage: Bacteria; Pseudomonadati; Elusimicrobiota; Endomicrobiia; Endomicrobiales; Endomicrobiaceae. RNAcentral also lists the same sequence under 1 other name.